ACUACAAAAACUCUAAUGAAAACAACACAAAAGACAACAAUGUAACUAUGAAAUCUUUAAUUCUAUUUAGAAAAUUUUGUACUUUUUCGGUCAAGUAAUAAUCAUACAUUCUUAACAGACAAGGCAGUAUCUUUUCACAGGACCAUUUUUCAAACAGCCACAGUAGUGCUAAACAGUCAUCAAGUACAAAGAAAAUAUCACCAUAAAAUAUGUUUACUUCUUUUCCUCUUGUGUCAAACUCCCAACAUAUCAAUUUUGACAUAUAUCAGCAUAGUUCAGCUUUUUAACAUGUACUCAGGAAAAACCUUCAAGAAAGCAGCUAACAAUUUGAAGUGAGUCUGUUAUUCUUCACCCUACUUGCUGCAAUUUUUUAUACUGUUUCAAUAGGGGAUGCUCAAAUUUAACAUGGGCAAAAUAUAAUGAGGUUGGCAUAUGUGCAAAGUUUCGGUGUGAAAGUUGCCUCUAUAGUCUUUGCUCAUUUAUGUCAAGGUGAGAGUGGAUAUUCCUAAGAUAAUCAUCUCAGGGACUCAGCUUUGGCUCUGCUGUUUGCGAGGGUCCCUCAAUCAGAAUAAACCUGCUUAAUGGAAGAAAAGCUAAAACGGAUGUUUAACCGAG
This is a long non-coding RNA of Oreochromis niloticus (Nile tilapia), 615 nucleotides long. RefSeq lists it as uncharacterized. The record is from RefSeq and is a predicted model, not a curated record. The transcript has 2 exons. NCBI's taxonomy places the organism in Eukaryota, Metazoa, Chordata, Actinopteri, Cichliformes, Cichlidae.